This 560-nucleotide ribosomal RNA is filed under the name uncultured archaeon. RNAcentral describes it as "bacterial SSU rRNA". It matches the Rfam family "Archaeal small subunit ribosomal RNA", at positions 319 to 879 of the family's 1478-position model. The record is from RNAcentral.
CGCCCUUCGGGGUGCACCAGGCGCGAAAACUUUACAAUGCGGGAAACCGUGAUAAGGGGACACCGAGUGCCAGCAUCAUAUGCUGGCUGUCCGGGUGUGUAAAAUACACCUGUCAGCAAGGGCCGGGCAAGACCGGUGCCAGCCGCCGCGGUAACACCGGCGGCCCGAGUGGUGAUCGUGAUUAUUGGGUCUAAAGGGUCCGUAGCCGGUUUGGUCAGUCCUCCGGGAAAUCUGACGGCUCAACCGUUAGGCUUUCGGGGGAUACUGCCAGGCUUGGAACCGGGAGAGGUAAGAGGUACUACAGGGGUAGGAGUGAAAUCUUGUAAUCCCUGUGGGACCACCUGUGGCGAAGGCGUCUUACCAGAACGGGUUCGACGGUGAGGGACGAAAGCUGGGGGCACGAACCGGAUUAGAUACCCGGGUAGUCCCAGCCGUAAACGAUGCUCGCUAGGUGUCAGGCAUGGCGCGACCGUGUCUGGUGCCGCAGGGAAGCCGUGAAGCGAGCCACCUGGGAAGUACGGCCGCAAGGCUGAAACUUAAAGGAAUUGGCGGGGGAGCAC